Molecule: long non-coding RNA, 2762 nt
Organism: Rhinolophus ferrumequinum (greater horseshoe bat)
Lineage: Eukaryota; Metazoa; Chordata; Mammalia; Chiroptera; Rhinolophidae
Exons: 3
Source: RefSeq, a predicted model, not a curated record
AUUUGCUGGGCGCUGAUCUCCUUGCAGCCCACAGAGGCGGCGGCUGCUGCUUUCAUUUCUAAGCUGCCAUAACCAGAAACGCCUGCUGCCGCCGCCCACAGGCUCUGCUCCAGCCAGAAGAGCUGGGUCUCACUCAGUGGUGUCUCCCUGCCAGCAUCUAGGACACAGUGGGAUCACAUGUUUACAGUGACCUGUCAGCCAGAACGGAAGGACUGGGGACCAGGAAAGUCUUGGUUCUGCUCCUUACUCAGACCCCGAUUCCAUAACUCACACAAGGUGCUUCUCCAUUAAAUGAAGCACGCUGUCCCUUGGGGCCGGCCACGCUCUCGGAGGGAUCAGGGCAUGGUGAAAGCAGAACGUGGGCAAUAAAUUACUUUAUGGAAGUCUUUGGCACACAUUAUUUGAACUUUUUGGCAAUGGAUUCACCUUCUCAAGGAUGUUUUGAUAAAGCUCGUAUCAGAAGUAUCAGGUGUAAAGCACACACUGGCUGACCAGGAGAAGCUGAGAUGGGCCCAAAAUCAUUGGAAAUGAGAGAGAAAUCAGCAUGAAAAUGAUCGAGCUGCCUGCUGUAAAAUUAGGGACGCAAUAUCAGAGUACUUUUCCUUGAGGAGAAGUGGCAAAAACUCUACAACUGGACAGUCCUGUAAACCAGGAUGAGCUACAGCUGAAGCUAGGUUAUAUAACCCGUGAGACGGAGAAGUGUUGAACUAAGGAAUUAAAGAGAAAUAGAGCAUCUCUUUAUCUGGAACUAAUGCUUUAAAAAGAAGUGUCUACCUCACUGAGCAUCACUGAUUAGACCUUCAAAGUCUUCCAAAGGGCCAUCUGUUCACGGUGCAGCAUGGUUCAGAGCCUCUGAGUUCUGCUGUUAGGGAACCGUGGUCUGAGCCCCACAACUGGGAAGCAGAGACACACGUAGGUCAGACUCCCCAGCCACGAGCACAGUUGUCAAACAUGUAACUGAAGGGGCAAGUGUACUUUUGGAGGACAGAGAAAGCCUUGCAAGGCCAUGUUUUUAGAAAGGGUGGGGCACUCACCACUGGACUUCACCAAACAGACAGGGCUUUGUGUAGGAGGGUGGGGCUGUUAGAAACUGAAUGACGGCAGGGAGCAGCUUAACCGGCUGGUGGGGCGGGUGAUGCCAAAUGCCCAGCCUGGCCGGGGAGCCAGAGUGAGAAUAAUGAUCUUUGCAGACAGGCAGAGUGGGGGAGGCCACUUGCGAGAAGCUCAGGAAAACAGAGGUCGGGGGCGUGCUUCUGACCCCUCAGCUCAGCUAUGGAGAAACGCAAGGUCAAGGUCAGCCCUACCUCACCGGGCACUGGCCACAGUGACCCACUUGUGUGCUGGAGCAACUCCCUGCUCAUUUAUAAGGUGCACGUGACACUACACUGUUGUCUACAGAAAGUUGUUUCAUGGCCCCAAAGGAGGUCCUGCAGAUGAAAGGGCUCUUAUUCCCAGGGAGUAGAGUUAGGAUGCUCAGGGCUCCAACACUGAGGCGCAGACAAACGAGAGGGCGGAGCCCCGCCUCAGCCCCGCCUCAGCCCCGCCUCAGCCCAGUACUCUUCAAAAUGCAACUGUCACCUCCCAGCCAGUGUGCGUGGUCUGCUGGACUUGCAGAUGGGAUGCAGAGACACACCAGGUGGUCCUGCUUUCUCAGUGGCCGUUUCCAGGCUCCAGGAAUGUGCUGGUGGCUUGCUUGAGUCUUAUCCAAAUGCCACCUCGGCCUCUCUGGAUAAAUACAGGAUGGGUGGCGACUGCAGUCUGCCUACCACUCCACCCCACCUCAAGACUUAUUUUCCAUCUUUUCAGCUUCUCAGUGGAAUUUUCCCUUUCUUCUUAGCCUUUAAAAUUGUUUUAAAAAUUGACUUCAUCUAUGAAUGCUCAUAUCCUUAUUUUUGUAUAUCGCUUUCAUGUAUAUAAUUUAAAUUUUGUGUUCAUUAGUACGGGUGGCAGAAGAGUAAGGGAAAGGGAUAUGGGCGAGGGCCUUCUGUUAGGCGUAUGGAUAAAAGAUAAGAGCGGGCACUUCUGACAGUAAGAAAUGUAUAAGAAGAAGGCUGGGUCUGGGAUAAAAAGCCAUAUCCUCUCCUUUGGGUUUACACCUACUCUUACAGAUAAGGAAAUUGAAAUUUAUGGGGACCUGACAACUAGGACAUGGCAGAGUGACGAUAAUAACAGUGACGCUAAGUGUUGGUGAUGUGAUAGCGUCAAGACCGGGCCUGGGACCUGACGCCAGGCGACUGACAUCCAACAGAAACGUGAUGCGAGCCACAUACAUGUGCAAUUAAAAAACGUUAGUAGCUAUGUCAUUACAACUAAAAAUAGGUGAAAUUAAAUUGAACAUAUUUAUUUCACGCAGUAUACCCCAAGUAGUAUUAUCAUUUCAACAUGUAAUGAAUAUAAAAUUAUCAGUGGGACUUUUUGUUUCUUCUUUGCACUAGAUAUUUGAAACCUGGCGUGUAUUUUACCUCACGUCUCAGUUUGGAGUAGCCACAUUCCACGUGCUCAAAAGCUGCAAGUGGCUGGUGGCUCCGUAUUGGACAGCGCGGCUGUAGGAGGCUCAUAACUAUUUUGUGCCAUGAACCCCUCUUGCAUCCGGCAAAGCCACGUUCUCCUUCUCAGAAUGUAUUUACAUGAGUAAGACAAAAUACAUGGGAUUACAAAGGAAAUCAGUUAUUUUGAAAUAUAGUUAUCAAAUUAUUUUAAAAACCACAAAUGUUGUAUUGUCUGCAUGCAUUUCUUUGUAUCACAUUAAGUAACAAUCCAGA